CCUACGGGAGGCAGCAGUAGGGAAUUUUCCGCAAUGGGCGAAAGCCUGACGGAGCAACGCCGCGUGAGUGAGGACGGCCUUCGGGUUGUAAAACUCUGUUCUUGAGGAAGAACUCCGGUCAGGUGAACAGUCUGACUGGUUGACGGUACUCAAGGAGAAAGCCCCGGCUAACUACGUGCCAGCAGCCGCGGUAAU
This 195-nucleotide ribosomal RNA is filed under the name uncultured Bacillus sp. RNAcentral describes it as "partial 16S ribosomal RNA". It matches the Rfam family "Bacterial small subunit ribosomal RNA", at positions 338 to 524 of the family's 1533-position model. Lineage: Bacteria; Bacillati; Bacillota; Bacilli; Caryophanales; Bacillaceae. The record is from RNAcentral.